GGAGGAAUCUCUGGAGAGAACCGUUAAAUCGGUCGCCGAAGGAGCAAGCCCAUUAUUGGGUGAAACUCUCAGGCAAAAAGGACAGAGGAGUGGAA
Molecule: non-coding RNA, 95 nt
Filed under: Vibrio sp.
Lineage: Bacteria; Pseudomonadati; Pseudomonadota; Gammaproteobacteria; Vibrionales; Vibrionaceae
Also listed under: 1 other name
Description: Glycine sequence
Rfam family: Glycine riboswitch aptamer
About the family: This family represents the bacterial glycine riboswitch.
Source: RNAcentral